Podarcis raffonei (Aeolian wall lizard) is the source of this 806-nucleotide long non-coding RNA. RefSeq lists it as uncharacterized. The transcript has 5 exons. The record is from RefSeq and is a predicted model, not a curated record. Lineage: Eukaryota; Metazoa; Chordata; Lepidosauria; Squamata; Lacertidae.
UUCCGAGGGGCUCCUCCGCCUCCUGCUGCUGCUGCUCCUCCUCUCGCAUCGCCCCCUGUCCUUCCUGGCGAGCUCGACCUCUUUCCCCUGCAGGGGGCCGAGGCGCCUUCCGACCGAGAGCGGGGCUGCUGCCUAGCGGCAAAGCAGCGGCCUCACCUUCCUCCUCCUCCUCCACCCGGUCUCUCCUCCCGCUGAGCAGACGCAGCUCUCAUCUGAGCCACAGGAGUUUCUUAGGACACAUGGUCCUGACUGGCAUCCAUCUUCAAGGUUUGGUCUGACGCCAGCUCCUGAUGAGGAGAAGAGGGCGCAUGGGCAUGGGCAGAGUGCAGUGCUUAUCUAUGCACUUCCAGCCCCUCAUUUAUGCAGAACUUUCAGUUAUGCAGAAGUUUCAUACACUGAUGGACUCCAAAGGAUUUCCAUUCAGCUCUAAUUUGCGCAGGUUGGUCCAUACACCCAGCACAAACUCCAAGUCCUGCAAAUACCAAAGAAAAGAAAAUCAAUACUUUUGCUAACUUAGCUCAGUGCUGCCACCCUGAUAUCUCUACAGACAAAGGGAGAGUUAUAAAUAUGUCAACAAGGCAGCUUUCCUUCCCACCAGCUCCCCCUCCAUAGGCAGCUUCACAAGCUUCUUCUGAGAGUCAGGGACUCUCCUGAAUGAGGGCUCCAUGGAACAAUCACAGAGUUUUCUACAAGCAAAUCUAUUUUGUAAAAGGUGAAAGAUUUAUAAAAUCUGAAGAGAAAUCUGAGUAUGCAAAUCUAUUUAGAAUUACCUGGAAACAACCCAAACAAAAUGAAAAUAUUUUAAA